Ictalurus furcatus (blue catfish) is the source of this 927-nucleotide long non-coding RNA. RefSeq lists it as uncharacterized. Lineage: Eukaryota; Metazoa; Chordata; Actinopteri; Siluriformes; Ictaluridae. The transcript is spliced from 3 exons. The record is from RefSeq and is a predicted model, not a curated record.
CACCUGGGGGGGGGUGUCGCUCUAACAGGAGCAGUGUGUUAGUACUUCCUGUCUGACUGGCUGACAUCCACCUUUACAGUUACAGCUGUCUCUUUAAGAGGAUUCCGACAGGUGACAGUGCCUUUCCUCUCCAGACAGUUGUAUAGAACAUCUCUAGACGCUGUAGUGUCACAAUUUCCAUAAGAACCAAGAAUCCCAAACACUGUUCCAGCACGACACAACCCGCACAAAAAGUGCGAGCUCCAUGAAGACACGGUGUGUGAAGGUUGGAAUAAGGUAGAAGAACUCAAGUGUCCUGUACAGAGCCCUGACCUCAACCCCACUGACUCAUCACCUUUGGGAUGAACUGGAACUGGAGUCUCCUUACAUCAACAUCAGCUCCUGACCUCAACCUCACUAACGCUCCUGUAGCUGAACGAACACAAAUCCCCACAGCCACGCCCCAAAAUCUAGUGCAAAGCCUUCCCAGAGGAGUGGAGCGCAUUAUUACAAUAAUUUUGUAUGACAGGGUGGAAUGUGUAUGAAUGGAACAUGUCAAGAUAAAACAUUAAAAAUAUAUUUUAUAAAUGAUGAGUGACUUAACCAGCUUAUGAAUGUUAGAGUAGUACUUUAGUAAAUACUCUCACAUUAUCUCAACACAGUAAAUACAUGAAAUGAUUAUGACCUGCUCUACCACUUAAACGUACCUUUUCAUUUAAGUGAAUUGUAAAGAAACAAAUCCGUGAAAUUUUUGCAGAAUAUUUUAAUGUUAAAAUGAACAGCUUCAACACUUUUACACGAUUAAUAACACACAUGUAGUGAACAACACACUGGUCCAUUUCUGCUACCAGGAACUCCACUGCUGCUAACUCAGACCAGCUGAGUACACACACACACACACACACACACACACACACACACACACACACACACACACACACACACACA